Ficedula albicollis (Collared flycatcher) is the source of this 2910-nucleotide long non-coding RNA. The record is from Ensembl. Lineage: Eukaryota; Metazoa; Chordata; Aves; Passeriformes; Muscicapidae.
GACAACCCUUUCACUGAGGUAAUUUUUCCUAAUAUCCAGUUUUACAUUCCCCAGCAGAGCUUGUCGCCAUUUUCUCUUGUCUCCUGAUAUGUAUCAUUCCAGUAUCUAGUGUUUACUUGGAAGUUGAGGAAAAUUUUUACCCAGAGUUCUCUGUUAGAUUUCAGGUUUUAUUGCUGAGCUCACAUUUGCUCAAUAUAAACUCUAAAAUAUGUCUGUGUCCAGUUAUCCAGAGGUGAAACUUGAUAGGUACCAAGCAGGAGUUAAUACCUUCAUAGGUUUGCAUAUGACUAUAGAGUGAACCUGACUGUAGUGACUAUUGAAAUGUGUAAUAGUCAUGCAGUAAGGGCAUAUGAGUAUAUAAAUCUGUAUGGCUAAGAACAGGAUAAGAGUAGGUUGGAUAAGAAGUGGCUGUUAACUCAUCUCUUAAAUAGUAUAUGCAGGUAUGUGAUUAUUUUUUACCUAAUAUAUUUCUUCUCUUUCUCUGUACAGUCUUAGUAAACAGCUGGCAGAAUAUGCAGACUGGGAAAACACAGGAGAAGCUUCUACAGGUGAUAGCGCACGAGGCAUCACAGCACUUGGCACUCCACACUGGGCAGCAGCUGCUGGCUUUACAUUGGGUGCACCUGCUGUGGACAGAGGAGGUAAGACCCUUCACCNAUUUUUUACCUAAUAUAUUUCUUCUCUUUCUCUGUACAGUCUUAGUAAACAGCUGGCAGAAUAUGCAGACUGGGAAAACACAGGAGAAGCUUCUACAGGUGAUAGCGCACGAGGCAUCACAGCACUUGGCACUCCACACUGGGCAGCAGCUGCUGGCUUUACAUUGGGUGCACCUGCUGUGGACAGAGGAGCAAUAGAUGACUUCUCCCAAGGAGACUCAAUAGGGUGAGACUUUAAAAAUAUCUAACACUUACCUGAGGAAUGACUUGAGAGACACAGUACUCAUUUUGCUUUGCUUUUGAAGAAGCUCUGGGAAAGAGGGGAACAAUGACAGUUGGCAUACCUCUGAGGAAGAGGAACUUGAUUUUAUGCCCAAAAUAUGGUGCAUUUACAGGAAAAAUGUCCUGUAAAAAUAAGGGGUUUGAAGGCAAAUUUUCUCUGCAACUGAAAGAAGCUGUAGCUUCAGCCAAUAUUGUUUUCUGUUUAAAGCAAUCUCUGGCCUACCGGCCUUCCUUCUGCUGUGAGUUUUUUCUAAAGGACCUGUAGCUGGGAUGGAGUAUGCAGUAGAUUUGUAAUUUGGAGCCAAAAAGCAGUAGGUGACAAGAUAACCAAAUAGUUCUAUUUUUUUCUUGUUCAUGUGAGUCAGAUUUGCAGACUUCAAAAAUUUGCAAGUUAUUAUUGUAACCUAUCCUGUUCUUGUCCAGUCAUUGUUAUUGUUUUCUGUAAAUUUGGGGGUAGAUUCCUAAGUGAUAAAGGACAUUUGUUUAUCAAGACCUACAAAAAUCCUUCAUCACCUAGUUCUCCUUUCCUCAGCAGGUUCUUCAAGAGUGCUCAAUGAGCAGAUGAGUUACUCAAAUAGGUAAUCUAUUUUCUUCUAUAAGAUGACAUUCAGUACUUGCAUGUGAUCUCACACUGCAUGUUUUUCCUUUUCUUUUCAAUGCUCAGGUAGUACUCUUUUAGUUAGUUACAAGCUCUCAUGCCUAUUGUUUUUACUAAUGAUCCUUAGAAUUAUCAGCUUCUGAGCAAUGUCUGGAGCAUCAUCUCUGUUGCACUGGCAUUGUGCAGUAAUGUAGAACCUGAGUGUGGUUGUUCAGCCCACUCUGUAAUGCUGGAGAUGCAAGCGUGUUUGUAUUUUACUUGAUUUCAUUUUCUUGCACUGAUUUAAAUAGAAAUGAUAAAUUUUUGUGCCAUGAUUUUGAAAUGUAGGGUUAUUUUUUUAGUGUACUUGCAGGGACUAAAUUUAUGCAUAGUUAGUUACCUUGCACACAUUUGCAAGUAAGCAUCCUGAAAAUGCAGUUUUAAAUCUAAUUGCUAAUUGUAAUGCUUAAGUAUUACAAAUAUUAGAAACAGAUUUUUAGAACGGUUAUGCGCGUGAGCGGUUUUGGAACGAGUUUGCAGAAGGGUGCCUGCACAGUGUGAAAUACUUGCUGAAUUGGAUAUGAGAAGAAUGUUUAUGUAGUUAGAAGUAUAGGAUGGAGCUGGCACUAUCAUAAGGACAGUCUGAUUAUAUUUACUGUUCAAGAUUUGAUGUGAACAAAGGAUUUGUUGUUGUUACUGUUAAAAAAAAAUUCUUACAUCUUUAUUUACAGAAGGUGCAGUAGUCAAACCUGACACUGUUAAUGAGUGCUUCACAGCAGUUCAGGAAAAACAGUAAGUUAUUUGCAAAAAGUUGCAUGAUGUACUGAUAUAUAGUAUAGACUUGCUAAGUAGGUUUUUUUUGGUUGAUUUCAGGGGUUUUUUUUAAAUAGUAAAUGAGGAAAGUAGCGUUUUGUAAACCUUUAUAAUGUUAAUAGUUCAGAAUAAAAUAAGUCAUUAAAAUGAAGAUAUUCAUCACCUCUUAAGUCCUUUUCCAUCAUCAAGUUCAUCGUCCAUCCUGCCCAACCUAAUUUCUCCAUUUCUAAAUAUGCCCAAGUGGCUCCUCUCUUGUCCGUUAAUCUGAUAACAUGCCAAUUACUGUUUACAUAAUUCCUUCUGUUCCUAUGCAUUUUUCUUUUUUUGUACUUUAAGAUGAUGAUGGUGGUUCUAGAAUUGAAAGUCCUAAGUCGCCAAAGAAAAGUCUCAAACAAAGAAUCCCAUCAGGUGCAAAUGUAAACAAAGGAGGCAGUGAGGAAUUUUUUAAUCAAGAUGUCUCAGCUGCAAGCAACCUGGAUGAAGAAGAAUUGGAGGAGGAAGAGGAGGAGGAGGAAGAGGAUGAAAAUGUCAAUGGAGAUGGUGAUGAAGACUAGGAGGAGGAGGAGGAGGAGGAGGAGGAGG